UACGAAGGGGGCUAGCGUUGUUCGGAAUUACUGGGCGUAAAGCGCGUGUAGGCUGUUUGGAAAGUUAGGCGUGAAAGCCCUGGGCUUAACCUGGGAAUUGCGCUUAAAACUUCCAAACUUGAGUGCGGUAGGGGGCAGUAGAAUUCCCGGUGUAGAGGUGAAAUUCGUAGAUAUCGGGAGGAAUACCAAUGGCGAAGGCAGCUGCCUGGGCCGCAACUGACGCUGAGACGCGAAAGCGUGGGGAUCAAACAGG
RNAcentral lists this ribosomal RNA (253 nucleotides) under uncultured bacterium. RNAcentral describes it as "partial 16S ribosomal RNA". It matches the Rfam family "Bacterial small subunit ribosomal RNA", at positions 524 to 776 of the family's 1533-position model. The record is from RNAcentral.